GACCGGGAUGGACGCACCGCUGGUGUACCAGUUGUUCCGCCAGGAGCAUCGCUGGGUAGCCAAGUGCGGACGGGAUAAGCGCUGAAAGCAUCUAAGCGCGAAGCCCCCCUCAAGAUGAGAUUUCCCAAUUCGUAAGACCCCUGGAAGACGACCAGGUUGAUAGGCUCGAGGUGGAAGCGCAGCAAUGCGUGCAGCUGACGGGUACUAAUAGGUCGAGGGCUUAUCCUAAG
RNAcentral lists this ribosomal RNA (230 nucleotides) under Paenibacillus sp. MMS18-CY102. RNAcentral's name for it is "partial 23S ribosomal RNA". It matches the Rfam family "Bacterial large subunit ribosomal RNA", at positions 2690 to 2925 of the family's 2925-position model. The record is from RNAcentral. Lineage: Bacteria; Bacillati; Bacillota; Bacilli; Caryophanales; Paenibacillaceae.